ACUAAGGAUUUAUGAAUAUAAAGCCACCUUAAUGGUGGGGGGUUUGGCAUAGACCCCUACCAGUUUAUUAAUUUAAAUCAAAAUGGUACAUGAAGGGAGGUUUGGACCUUGGUCUGACCUCCAGAAAACAAUAAGAAAGGGCCGAGGUUUGGACCUUAGUCUGACCUCCAGAAUACAAUAAAAAUGUACAAUUAUAAAAAAUUAAGAAAUCUUACUAAUCAUCAGAAAUUCAGUGAAUCAGUAUUCACUCUUCAGUCUUCAGUAGUGUUUGUAUCAUCAUCAUCAGAGGAUGUUGUAUUAUGUCCACCUUUAUCUUGAAGUCUUGCCUCAGCAUCCAACCAAUCUUUGAAGCAGAGAAGCAUCUCCACCGUUUCGCCCAUCAUCCUACUUCUCUUUUCGUCAAGAACACGCCGACCUGCACUAAAAGCGGA
RNAcentral lists this long non-coding RNA (431 nucleotides) under Phoenix dactylifera (date palm). RNAcentral describes it as "long non-coding RNA (PDAC_LNC022679)". Lineage: Eukaryota; Viridiplantae; Streptophyta; Magnoliopsida; Arecales; Arecaceae. The record is from RNAcentral.